RNAcentral lists this long non-coding RNA (24327 nucleotides) under Lactuca sativa (garden lettuce). Its description in RNAcentral is "long non-coding RNA (LSAT_LNC010270)". The record is from RNAcentral. Lineage: Eukaryota; Viridiplantae; Streptophyta; Magnoliopsida; Asterales; Asteraceae.
AUUUCUUUUGCAAACAUGUAACACCUACAAUCAUGUAAACUUUUCAAACAUAUUUAUAUUAUGGUGGUGUGUACUUUCCUUUCUAUGAACUGUUAUGAUACUGAAUAUGACGUCCUCCGCCCCCGAACGAUUCCGCCGUUCUGGUUUGGGGGUGUGACAGAUUGGUAUCAGAGCUUCGUUUAUAGUGAAUUAAGUAUAUCAAAACCAUUUUUUUUAUACAACUAUAAACUCAACUGGGCAAAAACACUCUGAGAAGAGUCAUACUUUUGAAAUUAAAUCUAUUUAGUUUUUGUAAGUAAGCAUGCAUUCAUUUAGUAAUAAAUAACAGUUCCACAUCGUACCAUAUUAGAAGUAUUAUUAAUGAGUUGUGCAGUACAGGUACGCCUUGGGACAUGUAAUCGGAACUGGGAAGGAUAUAGCCUGAUCAACUAUAUUUGUCCGAGAGCCGACUAACGUGUGCCGAGGGGUGUCUGCAGUGGACAACAAAUUUUAAAAACUUACCAAACCGUUAUUAGAAUCAAACACAAUAAUUUAAAUGCUAUAGGAGUAAUUGCUAUUUAAACUAACUUACAUGUUUUGCAUGUUCCGACUUUAUUCAAUUCUUAUGACCCUAUUUCUCGUACAGUCAAAUGGCUGGAUUUCACCACCCCAAUGACCCCUACUUUCCCAACCAAGGCAACGGAGGAUGGAUCGAAGAUGAUCCAGAAGAGGAUGAGGAACCCAUAGAAUUGGGUGAUGACUCCGGUACUGACUCAGAGCCUGAAGUGAUCGAUCCACCACCCAUUCAACCUCCUGUCCAUGUGAGGAACUUCCAAGGACCCACUCCCGUCUGGGGAAGUCACCUACAUCAUUGGAGCCAACAACAAGGCAUACGCCCUCCCUACGGCAUGUGUCGGGACUUCUACGAUGUCCGCGGUGGCAGUUCGGCUGAUCGAGCACUCCCGGUAAUGGUGGGUAAGUUAGCCAAUCAGUCCUAUCAGUCCGGAGUACAAGCAAGCCGACUCCGGGAUAUCAACGUGGAAGUGCAGGUUCACACUUCCGAUAUCCGUAGGCUGGACAAGAUACAAGAUAAUGUCCAACUCCAGUCUGAGGCAUUUCAGGCACAGAUAAUUGCAGCCCUAGCCGAGUUAAGGGAGCAACAAGCCGCUUUUGAUCGACGCCUAAUGGAAUCGAAGCAAUCAGAUGCGGAGUCAAGCUCCAAGCGCAACCUACGUCGCAAGUAGUGCCUGCCAGGAUUUCAAAUUUUGUUAUAAAUUAGGACUUCGGAUAAGAAUUUUCUUUUCGUUAAAACUUUCUGUAAUCGGAGACCUUUAGAAAGGUCAAAAAGUUUUGUCUAAACUCGGAUGUAACACAACUAUAUGUUUUAUAUAUAUAGGGCAUACCCCCCUUUUUCUGGUUUUUUUAAAUAUGUGUAUUCCGUUCAACUCAUAAGUGCAUCCAUUCAAACGUUAUUAAAUCAAGCUUAAAACCCAUUAUUGAUCAAACCAAAUUCUUAAUCUAUUUAAAGGCAGUUAACUCAAUAUCAUUCAACUCACAACCACCAAAACUCAUAAUAUCUCAUUUUCCUUUUGACAGAGCAAUGCCUCCUCGUAGAUCAGCACGUACCAACGCAACCCCACUACCACCUCCACCACUAACUUAUGAUCCGGCAAUGGUCCAGGCUGCUAUCACAGCAGCAGUAGCAGCAGCCCUCUCUCAAAUAAACUCCAAUGCCAAUGGAGGUACAGGAAGCAGCACGAAUCAUCCCAAUAGUGGCACCGGCCAGGGCCAUGUUAGAGAGUGUACCUACAAGGAGUUCUCCAACUCGAAGCCAAAGACUUUUAAUGGCAGUGGCGGAGUCAUUGCACUAAUGCAAUGGUUCGAAAAGACCGAAACGGUCUUCGAGAUCUGCUCGUGCCAAGAAACAAGCAAGGUUAAGUUCGCUGCUUGCACCUUCAUAGAUCGAGCCCUCACUUGGUGGAAAAGCCAUGUGAACUCAGUGACGCUCACUGUCGCUAACGCCAUGAGUUGGGAAGAACUGAAGGUACUACUACUGGAAGAAUACUGCCCAAGGGGUGAAGUGCAAAAGCUUGAGCAGGAACUCUGGAAUUUGAAAAUGGUCGGGUCUGACCUAGUCGCUUACACAGCUAGGUUCAACGAUCUCGCUGCUUUGUGCCCUACCAUGGUCAACCCAGAAUCAAAGAAGGUCGAAAGGUACAUUUGGGGGUUGUCACCCCAGAUUCAAGGGCAUGUCCUAGCCUCCAACCCUAUCACCUACAACAGCGCUAAACGCCUGGCGCAACGACUCAUCGAUCACGGAGCGAAACAGAGUACCAUCACAACAGCCGCAAAUCCACCUAGGGAGGCUCAGGGACAGAGUAGGCCUUGGAACAAGAGGAGGGGACAAAUCCUCCAGGAGAACCCCAAGAAACAACAAGUGAUAGCGACCCACGCUAUUACUGUACCUACCAACUCUGCCCCCACAAGUUCAUACAAUGGAAAGCUACCGAAAUGUAACCAGUGCAACUUCCACCAUCACGGUCUCUGUCAUGGCCUUCAAUGCACCAGGUGCAAUAAGAAGGGUCAUACAGCCCGCUAUUGCAAGGAGCCAACCCAACAAUCCGCCCCCACUGCUAAUACCGGAGUAAGCCGCGCUUGCUUUGAGUGCGGGAGCACAGGGCACUACCGCAAGGACUGCCCGAAGGCAAACAACAGGAAUACCGGCGGAAGAGGCCGAGUUUUCGCAAUGGGACAAGAUGAAGCCAUUGCGGACCCUACUGUUGUUACGGGUACGUUUCUUCUCGAUAACUCGUAUGCAUGCAUUUUGUUUGAUAGUGGAGCGGAAAGGAGUUUUGUGAGUCACGACUUUAAAAGCAUGCUAAAACCAAUACCACAAUCAUUAAGUGAACCGUUCAUAGUAGAAAUGGCCAACGGGAAAACUGAAGGCACUAAAGAGAUAUACUUAAACUGCACCCUAACUCUAAACGAUAAUCCCUUUCAAAUCAACCUCAUGCCAGUCUCGAUUAAGAGUUUCGAUGUCAUCAUUGGCAUGGAUUGGCUGAGUUCACAUCGUGCGGACAUUCUAUGUUACGAUAAGGCCGUUCGCCUUAAUCUGCCAACCGGCGAAACCUUCCUUGUCUUGGGCGACAAACCUAGUACCACUCUUAGAAUCAUCUCAAGUAUCCAAGCUCAGAAGCACUUACGAAAGGAGUGUCACGCAUUUCUUGCACAUGUUGUAGACGUGAAACGCGAAGUCCGGGACAUCAAGGAUGUGCCCGACGUAUGCGAUUUUCCCGAUGUGUUUCCCGAGGACCUUCCAGGGAUACCACCCGUAAGACAAGUCGAAUUCAGAAUCGAUCUGAUUCCCGGAGCUACCCCAGUAGCCAAAGCACCCUAUCGAUUAGCCCCGGCAGAGAUGCAGGAGCUAUCCAGUCAACUGAAUGAACUACUGGGAAAAGGAUUCAUCAGACCGAGCUUCUCACCAUGGGGAGCACCCGUGUUGUUUGUGAAAAAGAAAGAUGGAUCGUUCAGAAUGUGCAUCGACUACAGAGAACUCAACAAACUGACGGUCAAGAAUCGUUAUCCUCUACCGCGCAUAGAUGAUCUAUUCGACCAACUGCAAGGGGCGAACUAUUUUUCUAAGAUUGAUCUGAGGUCCGGGUAUCACCAGUUACGAGUGCUAGAGGAGGAUGUGCCGAAGACCGCCUUCCGAACUCGUUACGGACAUUACGAGUUCGUGGUGAUGCCAUUCGGAUUGACCAAUGCGCCCGCAGUCUUCAUGGAUCUGAUGAAUAGAGUAUGCCGACCUUACUUGGAUCAGUUCGUCAUCGUUUUCAUUGACGACAUCCUGAUCUACUCCCGAAGUAAGAAAGAGCAUGGCGAUCAUCUGCGACAAGUUCUAGGGAUAUUACGAAAAGAGAAACUUUAUGCGAAGUUCUCGAAAUGUGAAUUUUGGAUCCGAAGAGUCGAAUUCUUAGGACACGUGGUAAGCGAAGAGGGAAUCCACGUGGACCCAUCCAAAAUUAAGGCCAUUGAGAACUGGUCAGCACCGAAGACUCCUACAGAAAUUCGCCAAUUUCUAGGUCUCGCUGGCUACUACCGCAGGUUCAUUCAGAACUUCUCACGAAUAGCGAAGCCUCUUACAACCCUAACCCAGAAAGGUGUGGCCUUUGACUGGGAAGAGAAACAAGAAAGAGCGUUCCAAACGCUCAAACGAGCCUUGUGCACCGCACCAAUACUAUCCCUUCCCGAAGGAAUAGAAGACUUCGUAGUUUAUUGCGAUGCAUCAAACCAAGGACUCGGAUGUGUUCUGAUGCAGCGAGGUAAGGUCAUCGCCUACGCCUCGAGACAGUUGAAAACACAUGAGGUUAACUACACGACCCACGAUCUUGAGCUAGGAGCAGUAGUGUUUGCCCUGAAGAUCUGGAGACAUUACUUGUAUGGAACGAAGAGCACUAUCUUUACCGACCACAAGAGCUUACAACACAUUUUCGAUCAGAAGGAGCUCAACAUGAGACAACGGCGAUGGGUCGAGCUACUCAGUGAUUACGAAUGCGAUAUUCGCUAUCAUCCGGGAAAGGCAAACGUCGUAGCCGAUGCCCUUAGUCGAAAGGAGUACUCAGGCCGGAGAGUGAAGUCAUUAGCUAUGUCGAUCCAUUCGCACCUAUCAACGCAAGUCAAGGAAGCUCAAUUAGAGGCCUUGAAACCCGAAAACGUGGCAGGUGAGGCCCUUAGGGGAAUGGACAAGAACUUAGAAAUCAAGAGUGACGGAGCACGCUACCUCAUGAACCGGAUCUGGACACCAAAGUUUGGGGGAUUCAGAGAGGUAGUUAUGAGCGAGGCACACAGGACCCCAUACUCCGUACACCCAGGGUCAGACAAGAUGUAUCUAGAUCUCAAGCAACUCUACUGGUGGCCAAACAUGAAAGCGGAGAUCGCUACGUAUGUGGGCAAGUGUUUAACUUGCGCCAAAAUAAAAAUAGAACACCAAAAACCCUCAGGCCUACUCCAACAACCUGAAAUACCUGAGUGGAAAUGGGAGCAGAUUUCCAUGGACUUCAUAACCAAACUGCCCAAAACUCAGAGUGGCCAAGAUACUAUUUGGGUAAUCGUCGACAGAUUAACCAAGUCAGCCCAUUUCUUACCUAUCAAGGAAACCGAUAGGAUGGAAAAACUAUCAAGAACCUACAUCCGGGAGAUCGUACGACUUCAUGGAGUACCAAUGUCCAUCAUCUCAGAUAGAGACAGCAGGUUCACUUCCAGAUUUUGGCAAUCACUGCAAAAAUCCAUGGGAACAAGGUUGGACAUGAGUACAGCAUACCACCCUCAAACUGACGGACAGAGUGAGAGGACGAUCCAAACCUUGGAAGACAUGUUGCGAGCAUGUGUAAUCGACUUUGGCAAGGCAUGGGAUAUUCACUUGCCUUUGGUCGAGUUCUCUUAUAACAAUAGUUAUCAUACUAGUAUCAAGACCGCUCCGUUCGAAGCCCUUUACGGCCGUAAGUGCAGAUCACCCCUGUGCUGGACGGAAGUGGGCGACACCCAAUUGGCAAAAGGUCUAGUCACUAAAAGCACCCUUACUGGUCCAGAGAUCAUCAGAGAAACUACCGAAAAGAUCGUGCAAAUACGAGAACGACUGAAGUCCUCAAGGGAUAGGCAAAAGAGCUAUGCCGACAGGAGACGUAAACCCUUGGAAUUCCAGAUUGGCGACCGUGUGCUACUGAAGGUCUCACCCUGGAAAGGCGUGAUACGCUUUGGGAAGCGUGGAAAGCUAAAUCCCAGGUACAUUGGACCCUUCGAAAUCAUUUCGAGAGUUGGUCCAGUGGCCUACAAACUCCAACUUCCAAUCGAGCUUAACAAAGUGCAUCCAGUAUUCCACGUGUCGAACCUGAAAAAGUGUUUGUCCGACGAAACACUUGUAAUUCCACUCGAUGAAAUCGCGUUAAACGAAAAUCUCAACUUUGUGGAAGAACCCGUCGAGAUCAUGGAUAGGGAAGUUAAAAGGACCAAGCAGAGUCGCAUUCCAAUAGUAAAAGUUCGAUGGAAUGCUAAGAGAGGACCCGAAUUCACAUGGGAACGGGAAGACCAAAUGCUACAGAAGUAUCCGCAUCUCUUCCUCAGCCCCUAAAACUCUUACCUUGUAUUAAAUUUCGGGACGAAAUUCCGUUUAACGGGGGGAUGAUGUAACAACCCGUUAUCCCGGGCAUUAUAAACCGAGUCUUGUAACCCCUUUUGAAUGUAAUGGGAAUAUCAUCGAUAAAUGAAUUGUUCAAAAGCUCUGAUUUGGAGUACGCUAUGUAGUAGAUAUCGUCUUAAAGGUUCCAAAUAAAUAAAGAAACACUAAAAUCUGAGUUAUGGCGAAGAAGCUAUGACCAUUCUAAGAUUUCUGUCAAAACCGACAACACCGAUCAAACGAAAAACGCAAAGUUUCAAUACGAUAACAUUUAGCCUUAGGUAUCUAAAUGAAAGUCAUAGAUAACAUUAAACCGUGAGCGUACACAAAAAGAACGUCCAAAUCUGACUUCGCAUGAGGAAGUUAUGAUUUUUCAAAGAAAUUCCUUAAAAACGAUUAGUUAUAAAAUAAAUAAUAAAAAUAAUUUUGGAAUUUGCCAACGGAGUCUAAACGAAAGUUGUAGAUCGUAGUCUCACCUACGCGUGGAUAUAAAGACCAUCGAAAACGGAGUUCGUAUGAAGAAGAUAUGGAUUUUUGAAGUUUAUUAAAUAAAUUAAUUAUUUAUUUAAUUCAAAAUUCGGAUAUUAUCCGAAGAGGAGUCAGCGUCCUUCUCCGAAGUACGCGCUGCGUACUCCUGUACGCCCCGCGUAACCGAGAGGAUUGGCCUCGGAUCGUCCACGUCGCCAUAUCCGAGGAAGCCGACCCGUCCGACCCGUCCGACCCGACGUCCCAUCCGACCCGGCGUCCCAUCCGACCCACCUCCCCAGCAACCCGUCCCAUCCGACCCGAUAACCCAAGAACCCGUCCCAUCCGAACCGAGGCAGUCGAGGCUUCGGUCAUGCAUGACGUACGCGUACGCAGCGCGUACGAGCGUACGCCCCGCGUACCGAGGCAGACUUGCCUUCCUAUAAAUAGAAUGCGAGGGUUUCCAAAGAAAGGGUUCAUUUCUCUUCUCUCUCUCUCAGCAUUUCCUCGUUUUCCGUGUCCGUUCAAACCCGAAGCUCUGGUCUUUUUGGCUCAAGUCCCGAAGGCCGAUUCUACUCCCGAGAUUCCCGAGAAUCCCAAGAAAAAUCAGUUUCCCGAGACGAAACUCUGCUCGGUUUUCCACCUCACAAUCUUCAAACUAUCAAGUGAGUUCAUAUCCCCUUUGAACACUCUUUAAAUACAUUUUAAAUGUUUUAUACUCUUUUUGGGGAGGAAUACAAGUUAACACAUGACUAAAUUCGUGUGAAACAUUAACCUUUUGAUAUACUUUUCAUACUGUUGUUUUAACUAUCUUGUGAAGUUAUUAUGAUACAAAACCCCUCACAACACAGCUUUACCCUCUUUGGGAUAUAAUAUGUUUAUAAAUAGAAAUAUGUUUUAUUUAUACGUUUACAUACAAACACAUCAUAUCAAGGGUAACAUUCUUUACUAAGUCAUUUCAUGCAUUCAAAGAACUUAUGAUUAUGCUUUGUCAAACAUUGUGAAAGAGGUUAAACUUUGCAUACAAACUACUACCUUAUUACGGACUUAGUUGAGAAUCCAUGAGUCGUGUAUAUCUUCAAACGUUACUUUCUUUAUUAGAAAAUAAUGCUACAAGUCCUGUCUAUAACCAGAGUCUCCCGUUCGGAGAACGUGUCAAAUGUGUAUAGAUCUAUACGGGAAGUCAUGAUCCCGCGCCCUGACUGUUAGCUACAGUCCGUCUUUUGGGGUGACAGUUGUCAUAACGCUACGACGCCUGAAGAACGUCGCUACAGGCAUAUUAUGUUUAGUAUGGUUAUAAAACUCAUCGGAUAUACAAUUAUUAUGGUAUUAUGCUUUUAUGAACAAGUAGUCAUUAAAACUAUUCUUCAUUUAAUAAGGGCGAUUUUCGUAUAGCUUUACUAUGUAAAACUAUGACACGACUUACAAGCACGUCGCUUGCUUGCGAUUUUCGGUCUUCAAGGCUGCCAGUUAUGUCAGGAAAAUAAGGGUUUUUCCUGUAUACCAAACAAACAACUAAUAGGAAAAUAAGGGAUUUUCUCGGUACAAAUAGUUGCAAUUUACAUCAUGAACAUUCAUAUGCAUUUCAUACUUUUAUAGGAAAAUAAGGGUUUUUUUCUGGAAAACAUGCAAACACUUUUGAAUGGCAUACAUCUUCUCAAAACACUACUUAUGAACUCACCAACUUAAAUGUUGACACUUUUUCUUUGAAAUAACUUGUAUUCACAGGAAACCGCUAGCCAGGUAGCAACUACUUCUGAAGACUAACGCACUGGCGUUAGUAACAUAUUUUGGAUCACCAUUUUUGAUUUCUUUUGCAAACAUGUAACACCUACAAUCAUGUAAACUUUUCAAACAUAUUUAUAUUAUGGUGGUGUGUACUUUCCUUUCUAUGAACUGUUAUGAUACUGAAUAUGACGUCCUCCGCCCCCGAACGAUUCCGCCGUUCUGGUUUGGGGGUGUGACAUUUUAGAACUUGGUACGGACAUUACGAUUUUCUAGUUAUGUCGUUCGGUCUAACGAAUGCCCCUGCAAUAUUCAUGGACCUCAUGAACCAUGUUUAGAAACCUUAUUUAGAUAAGUUUGUUAUUGUAUUCAUUGAUGACAUCCUGAUACACUCACAAACAAAGGAAGAACAUGGUCAAUAUCUACGCUUAAUAUUGGAACUACUAAGAAAAGAGAAACUCUAUGCAAAAUUCUCUAAGUGUGAAUUUUUUAUCAGAAAAGGACACUUCUUAGGGCACGCCGUAAGUAAAAAAGGCAUACAUGUGGACCCUGAAAAAAUUGAAUCAAUCAGGAACUGGGAAGCACCAAGAACACCAACCGAAGUGCGCCGGUUUUCAGGCCUUGCUGGGUACUACCAGAGAUUUAUUGAGAACUUCUCUAAGACGGCCAAACCUCUAAUUGCAAUGAUAUAGAAGAAUGUGAAAUUUAUCUGGGAAGACAAGCAGGAGACUGCUUUCCAGAAAUUAAAACAAGUAUUGUGUAGCACGCUAAUCUUAUCACUUCUAGAAAGAAUUGACGACUUCGUCGUGUGCUGCGACACGUCUCAUCAAGGAUUUGGAUGCGUAUUGAUGUAAAGAGAUAAAGUAAUGGUAUAUGCCUCCAGAAAAGUUAAAGUUCACAAGGCCAAUUACACCACUCAUGACCUCGAAUUAGGAGCAUUGAUUUUUACACUCAAAAUAUGGAGACACUACUUGUAUGGUACGACGUGUACCAUCUUUACUGACCACAAGAGUCUCCAACAAAUCUUCAAUCAAUAGGAACUAAAUAUGAGACAAAAAGAUGGUUUGAAUUACUAAAUGAUUACGAGUGUGAAAUUCGUUACCAUCCCAGGAAAGCAAACAUUGUCGCAUAUGCACUGAGUCGUAGAGCACAUGUCAAACCUAGACGCGUACGAGCACUAACCAUGACUAUCCAUUCCAACCUCAAUAAACAGAUAAGAGAAGCUCAUAUUGAAGCUAUAAAUGAGGAGAACACAACGGACGGAGAUUUGUGGGGAAUGGAUAAGCAAUUUGAUCUUAGAAAAGAUGGAAUGCGAUAUUUCAUGAACAUAAUCUGGAUGCCCAAAUUUUGAAACGUUAGGAGUUUAGUUAUGAGUGAAGCUCAUAAGACGAGAUAUUCCGUUCACCCAGGUUUCGAUAAGAUGUAUCAAGACAUAAGGAUAUUGUAUUGCUGGCCAAACAUGAAAGCCACGAUUUCCACUUACAUGAGAAAGUGUCUAACAUGUUCUAAAGUUAAAGCAGAACAUCAAAAGCCUCCUGGUUUGCUACAACAACCAGAAAUACACGAAUGGAUGUGGAAACUAAUAAUUAUGGAUUUCAUUACCAAGUUACCCAGAACACCAUGUGGAUACAACACAAUAUAGGUGAUAGUGGAUAGGUUAACAAAGUCUGCCCAUUUCCUACCAAUUAAGGAGACUGACAAGAAGGAAAAGUUGACCAAAACAUACCUAAAGGAGAUUGUGAUACUACGCAGAGUCCCAAUCUAUAUUAUCUCUGACCAAGGUGGUAGAUUCACCUCUCGAUUUUGGCAAUCAUUGCAAAAGUCCUUAGGUAUCCGUCUAGACAUGAGCAUGGCUUACCAUUCUCAGACAGAUUGUCAGAGUGAACGAACCAUCCAAACUAUAGAAGAUAUGCUCUGAGCCUGUGUGAUAGACUGUGGGAAUUUAUAGGACACUCACUUGCCCUUGAUUGAGUUUUCCUAUAACAACAACUAUCACACCAGCAUAAAGGCCGCACCAUUUGAGGCAUUGUAUGGAAGAAAAUGUCAGUCGCCACUAUGUUAGGCAGAGGUUGGAGAUACCUAGUUGGCCAAGGUACAUUCAGGAGAUACUCUAUAGAGUGGACACGAUAUAAUUCACUAUGUUGGGCAUAGGUUGGAGACACCUUAUUUUCUUUAUGAAUUUUUUAUGUGAUUGGUAUUUUGUGUCUACUCAAAGAGAUUAUCCGUUCAUAUUAGAUUAUUCAUUAAUUUUUUAUUAAACAUACUAUAAGUUAUCAGACCUUUGAAUGGUUAAUCAUUAUUAAGAGACUUUUUAGUGGUAUUAUUGAAAUACGAGGUUUCAAAUGAAUAUGGUUUGAGUAAAAAUGCCUUAUGGGAUUUUUAAAUGAAUGUGUUGAAAAGAAAAAUGUUUUCUUUAUAAGUAUAUAUAGAAUAGGCGAAUGUCCGUGCGUUGCGCAGAAACACUUAUAUAGUUGAAAUCUAUACAAAUGUAUGCUUUAUUUUAAAUAUAACAACAACGUUGUUUUUGAAAUUUGAUAUAACAAUGUGUAUACUAAAUUCAUAUAAUAUAUUGAUUCUNUCAACCGUUUGAAUGAUUUCUACCUGCAAGUUAGUCAUGAAUAAAAUUAAAUAUAAUAUAUGUUUUAAUGUUAUUUGUAGUUGUUAUUUUUGUUAAUUAAUUUUUUAAAGUUUAUUUGUUUAGCGUUAUUUCUAUCAUUAUAAUUAUUUAAAAAAUCAAACAUUGUUUUUUGAUUUUAAAGGUAACAAUAUAAUCAUUUAUAUAGAGUUAUUUUUAAAUAAUGUUAUUAUAAGUUAUUUUAAACUACAUAUUUGAAAACUUUUAAUGACUAAAAAUAUCUUUAGGAAAUAUUCUUGGUAAAUUGAGGUAAAAAUUUAUUUUUUGCAUUUUCAACUAGAAUUUAUUACUUUUAACAAUUCCCAAAAUAUUCACUGGGUUUUUUAAAUGGAACUGAAAUUUAUAUUUAAGUUGACAAUAUAAUGCUAUAUUAUAGUUAACAAUUUAAGUAUUUUGUCUAAACUGUUCAAAAGUAGUAACUUUAAAUUGAUAAUGUUUUACAUACAACAACAUAUUAACUCUAAUAAAUUAAGUAUAAUAUGUUAAAAGUAAAAUAAGUAACAUUAUAAGUAGAAGCGAACAUAUUACUUUAAUAUUGAAAUUUAGUUUAUAUUUUAUUACACUUUAGGUUUGAUAUUUAUUUAACCUUAUUAACCAAAUUAUAAUCAUUAUUACAAAGACACUACAAUUUAUCACUUUUAACUAAUUACAAAAUAUUCAUUGAGUUAUUUAAGUUCAACUAAAAUUUAUAUUUAAGUUGAUCUUGUAAUGUUAUAUUUAUAUUUAUAAUUUAAGUAUUUUAUUCUAAUUGUUCAAAAAUUCUAGUUUUAAAAUGAUAAUGGUUUACAUCCAACAAUUUAUUAAAACUAAUAAAUAAAGUAUAAUAUGUUAAAAGUUAAAAAACAUAACUUUAUAAGUAGAAGUAAAUAUAUUGUUUUAAUAUUCAAAUUUAGUUUAUAUAUGAUUACACUUUAGGUUUGGUAUUUAUUUAAUCUUAUUAACCAACUUAUAAUCAUUUUUAGAAAGAAAAAGAAAAGUCAUGGGAGUUUCAAAAGAAUGUGGUGAAUAGAAAAAUGCAUGGGAGUUUCAAAUGAAUGUGGUGAAAGGAAAAAUGUUUCCUUUAUAACUAUUUAGAUGAAUAUCCACACGUUGUGCAGAAUAAAAUUAUUGAAAGGGUUUUGAGCAUUCUAACACUCCUAAGGUGUAUAUGCAACCCUAGAAACCUUGGAUCUAUGUUUUACUAUGAUACAUGCAAAAUUGAUUUUCCAAGGUUCUUAACCUAUCUAGCAUAGUAUGGGGAACUUUCAAACAAAAAUACCUAGAAGAAGAAGACACCUUUUUUAGUUUGGAUUCCUUGAGAACCUUAUGAGCCUAGCACCUCAAGUGUGAUGCCUCAAAUGUCUCACUGUCACAACCCAAAACCGAGAACGACGGAAUACAUUCUGGGUGGAGGAUGUCAUGUACAGUAUCAUUACAAUUGCAUAAUAGUAAAAAGAAGAAACAACAACCAUUUCAUUAGUAUAGUGAUAAUAAUUACAAAUGUGUUCUGUGAAGUUUAAUAGACACCAAAAGUAUAACAAAAUAAUAGAUGGGUCUUGUAUGUGUUCCAGCUUCUCCAAAAGCUGCACCAGUUCCUGUCUAUGUUUGACCUGAGGAUACAAGUUAUUUUGAAAACGAGUAUCAGCAUAAAGCUGGUGAGUUCAUAAGAUUUUAGUGUCGUUGUUUGUGUAAAGAGUUUUACGAACAUGUAAUAUAAAAACUGAAACUUAUGUUUAUGAGUAGUAGAAAUCCCUAGAAAAUCCUAUAUUUUCCAGAAAGGUACAUUUGUAAGUCAAAUCCUUUGAGUGUGUAAAAGUAUUAUCUUUGAAACCUUCAAUUGUAAAAGUAUAGUAAUAAAUAUCAUGUGAGUAACAUAGCUGAAGAAAUGUUAUGCCUGCUAACAGUAGUAGUGGUGUAACUUCAGUUAGUAAUAGAUCUUUAAUUACUUCGGGAUAUUAACUUAGACUUCAAGUCUUAGUGUAUUUAUUUGGAUAUAAGUGUAACCCUUCAUGUGACCUAUUGUAUGAUAGUAGAGUGUCCGAUGACCUUCCCAGUCAUGAGUAACGGAGUGAUGUAGUGUCAUCCCUAGGCCUAGUCGGCUCGGACUUUAGUUAAUAGUCGGGAUGUAAUAGCGUCAGUUUCGUAUAGAUCUAUACAUGUAGUGUUGCUUUCCUUCCGGGAAGCCCUGGUCACAUAGUGUAAGCGUGAUAGAGUGCUUUAUAGAGGGAUAGUGUGUUAUACUUUGUAUUAGUGUAUUCUCUUAAACUUGCGUUAACUUGUAAUAUUAACAGUUAUACUGAGUAUAGUAGUAGUAGAGGUAACAAGCAGUAGCCUUAACUAUACCUAUUAUAGUUAACUAGAGUGAGUGAAUUCCUGCCUUUGAUCAACAAAGGUAAUGAAUAAGAUGAAAACUUUCGUAUCUAACACAAAUAUAUAUAUAUAUAUANAUUAUAUAUAUAUAUAUAUGAUAUAUAUAACUAAGAAAUCAACGACAGUCGGACAAACAACCAAUACCCUAAGACCACAUCAAACAAGAACAGGAAAUAAGGCAAGUUAUCGGUCCUAAAUCCUUCAAGUCUUACUUAUAUAAAUAUAUUGGUGUAGAUAUAUUUUAAAAAUAAAAGUGGUUUCAACAUAAUUUUGAAAAUAGUUUAACAACAAUUUAACCUUAAAAACACAUUAGAUAAUUAGUUAAAACAGUUUUAUUGAUCAGCAUCUAAAAGUGUAGAGAAAACUCUUUUUGACGAUAAAUUGUAAAUCACAUAUGAUUGAUAAUGAAAACAUGUAGCAUUAUACUUGUAUCCCCCCCCCUAAAACAUGUAAAAACAUUUAAAAGGUUCAUUAAGGGGUAUGAACUCACCUACAAUGAGUUGAUCGGGUGGAAGUGUCGGAUGAGCAUUUAGUGUCAAGUAAAGACUUGUACACACUUUAAGACCCUAGUAACAUAUGAAGACAUAUGUUCACAAUUAAUUAGUGAUUUAACUCUUAAUUAAACACAUUUCGACAUCCUAAUGUGAAUAAAAGUUCUAUGGUUGAGUGCUAGAAGGCUAAUGGGUUGCAAGGAAAGAGUAUCAGACCUCACCAUGGAGUUUACUCUUCCAAAACUGACAUUAAGUGAGUUUACGGUUGGGAGACCACAUCCCCCAUGAGUUUACGGUCGUAAACUCAUGGGAGGAGUUUAACUGAGUGUUUUCAAGCCUCUUGUGGUUCUAGCAAUGAUUCUGAGGCAAUAUACAAGGCUAUAGGGGUGUUUAAGGUUAAAGGAGGCUACUCCCUUGGAGUUUACGGUCCAAGGACCACUCCUUGGGAGUUUACAGCCGUAAACUCCAUGGUUUAUGGUAGUAAACUCUUGGACACCUUCUAUUCUUUGAUUUCAAGGUCCUUGGCUUAUUCCUAACAAGUUCUAGUGAGGGUGUAAGGCUUCUUAGGGGUUUAGAGGGUCAUUAGGCAUGGAUUAAGGGAGUUUACGGUCUAAGCAUAUGCUUGGGCCGUAAACUCCAUUUUACCCUUCAAAUGUUGAUGUUUAGGUGUUCCAAGUCCGAAAUAGCAAGUCCCUAAGCCAUAUCUUAAGCCUAAAUGUGGUUUGGAAGUGUUUUGGGCUUGUUUUGCAAGCUUAGAGGGUGUUUACGGUCUAAGCAUGUGCUUGGACCAUAAACCCUCUUUCAAGCCCUAAAACUUAUUGAUUCAAGGUUCAAACACUUCUAGGUUAGGUCCAAAACUAGUUUCUAAGCUUAAAGGGGAGAAAUUGGACACUUUUGGCAACAUUUUAGGGGUUUACGGCCUAAGGAUGUUCUUAGGCCGUAAACUCCUCUUUUUCAGCCUUCAUGAGCAAGUUUUGAGUUAAAAAAACAAUCAAUGAUGUCUAGAACAAGUUAGGGUAAGGGAACUUACGCUUUGGAGGCGGAAAUUUGCGGUUUUGCAGUGAAAUCGGACUUGAGGAGAGAGAAUAGAGAGAGAAAGUGGGUCUAGUGUGGUAAAAGGUUUCUAAGGAGUGUCCCCCCACCUUUAUAUAGGACUUGGGUGUUGUACCCGGUAUACGACUACCCGAGAUUUAUAUUUAACGACGUUUAAAGUUUUUACCCGGUUAAAUGGUGCAAAUAAAAUAAACUUUUUCCAACUAAAUGGAAGGAUAAUUUACGUGUUUAUACUUAUUUUAUUACGACAAUAAUAACGUAAAGUGAAAAUAAAAUAAAACAUUUAUUUAUUUGUCGACCCCAAAUUAAAGGAACUUUUAUAAAAUAGAUUAUUUUAUUAACGGAAACAGGUUAUAAUAACGGAAUAAAUUUUGGCUUGUCACACUCACACAACACUACAACUCUUGGAAUAGGCUUGAGAGAAGUUCACUAAAACCUCAAAAUCAAAUAGCCCUCUUGUUCUUCAAUUAGUGACCGAUUUUGCUUGCCUUGGAGCUUCUUAUAUAGUUGUGGCACGAGUAGGGUUACACCAUGUAAACCCUAAUUGUCAUGGCUUUUCAUAUUCCAUUGUUAGGUGCUAUUUGUGCACCUUUUUGCGCACCUUUUAGUCCCAUUUCAUGCAUCUAUUUAGCACAAUUGUUCUUCCUUUUUCUUGCAUUUCAUCAUAUUCAUGUUAGUCUCUAGAACCACCUUACUUGCACACUUUUAUGUCUUUUUCAGGUAAACCGGAGGUUGGAACGCGCUUUGGGAAGUGCUGGGAAGCAUUGGUGAAGAUUUCGGGACGAUCGGGUGAAGAACGAAAAAGUUGGAAAAAUCAAGUUUGGAAUUGGAGUCAGAGAGGUACACGGGGCGUGUUGAAUUUACACUCAAAAGUGGGCACGGGGCGUGUUUGACCAAAAUGGGAGUUGUCGACCAUGCUGAACAUGGGGCGUGUCAGUUUAGUGCAAAUCAACACGGGGCGUGUUGCUAAACACGACCCGUGUCAGUUUAGUGCAAAUCAACACGGGGCGUGUUGCUGAACACGACCCAUGUCAGUUUAGCUUAUAUUAACACGGGCCGUGUUCGACCCAGAAACCAACUUUUGGUAGUUUUUCCUAUCUUUCAUAUUACGGGUUAAGGGCCAUUUUUACAGAGACACAACAUAUCAGAGCACCAUUGGAGAGAAGAAUUCGAAGGUUUUUGCAAGNAGCCCUAUUGGGGGAGAAGGAGUUGAAGUUUUUAGCAAGGAUUGUCCGUUAAACAUUUGGAAACAUUUUGAUUUCAUAUUUGUAAGCAUUUUAAUUCUUGAUUUCACCUUCUAGAUUUCUGGUUUUGUUCUAGUCAUGUGUGGCUAGAACCCUAAUUUCUCUAAAUCAUGUUUUGACUUUCUAGUUGUGAAUCUAAUCACAUGACUUGAUGUUUGUUCUUAAUUUCUAUUUAAUGAAUUUGAUUUUGCUUCAAUCGAAUGUUUGAUUCUAAUUUUGAUUCUUAUUGGACAUUUGAAUUAGGGUUAGGUCAUUCCAGUUAUCUCUUUUACAAAAUCCGUAAUUGUUUUCUGAAAUUGAACAAGUAACAAGUAUUAAAUUGAUCUCUAUUGAAUUAAUUUAGUGUAAAUCUUAUUCAUACACUUUUACACUCCCGAGCUUAUGAGGACUAUUGGGUGUUGUUGGGAACAUUCACAUAAAGCUUCAUGCAAUCUUCCAGUCUAAUUCUAAGAGCUUGUUUAGAUUAGGUUAAUAAGGUUAGGGUCAAUCAAAGAGCUUGUUUUGGUUAAUUAAUAUGGUGAAUGGGAGGUGUUAGAGCUUAUUAGCACCUUCAAGUACCAACUUAGAUAGAAUUUAACGUAUAUUGUGUCCUCUUUGAGUUACAUUGCUAAACUGUCAUACAUGGAGUUGGAGUCCUUAUAAAAUCUGAACAUAAUUCAUUCGUUUAGUUGUCUACUCAUGUUUUAAAUUUGUUUGUUUAGUCAUUGCAUUCUAAACCCCCCUUGUUACUGUUGGUGACCAUAGUACCAUGCGUAAAGAGGUGUAGACUAAUUAUCCCGUGUCUCUGUGGAUCGACCCUACUUGCCUUUUACUACCUUUUAGUGCAAUAUAGUGGGAUUAUUUUGAAGUAUAUACCCCUUUACUUGUUAGGCUUGACACGCCUAACUAUUUGGCGCCGUUGCCGGGGACACGGUGUUACUAAUUGUUUAUGCCUAGAUUUUUGAGAUUUUUGUGAGCAGGUACAUCUCUAUAAAAAAGACAAAUUUUUUUUUUAAAAAAAACAGAAAAAAAAGUGUCGCUCAGAAAUGAAUACUCCUUACAUAGAAGACCAAAUUUCUAAGCUGGCUCAGUAAGUUAUGAUGAUUGGAAAUGACCAAAGUACGCAGCCCAUAACUAUUCCUUGCGACUUUUGCACUCAAAAUGGACAUCAUUCCGAUAUGUGUCCAUAUCUACAAGGAGAAUGGGAAGAAGUGCAAUAAAUGGGAAGCUACUACUGGCCAAACCAAUGGAGUUAUGAUCAACCUCAACAUGAUCAAUGGUGGGAAAACAACCAAGCUUGGGGAAGCAACCAAUGCCAAAACCCAUACCAAGCUUGGGGAAAUGACCAAUACCAACUAACUCCACAGUUCCAACAGCUAUAUUCUCCACCUCCCCAACAACCUGAAACAUCGAGCAUGUCCUUGGAAGAAAUUGUCAAGAGCAUUGCCACUACUACCUAGAUCUUCCGAGAAACAACCAAAGCUAGCCUCAAAAACUUACUCAAUCUGUGAGUAUAUUGGAAACUCGGGGAAAACUACCAUCGCAGACGGAGGAGGACCCAAUGCAUACCGUUUCUGCCAUCACCUUGAACGAUGGGAAAAAUGUUGAUGACCCAAGAUUGCAAUUGGAUGAUGGGGAAGAGGAGGAAGAAGUAGAAGUGGAGAAGGUUGUCAAGGAAGAAGUAGAAAUUAAGAAUGUUGAUAUGGAAGUUGUAGAGGAGGUGUUGGAGGUUGACAAAAAAGAGGCUGAGCCACCCACUACCAAUGAGAAACUCCUUUCAAUGGUAGAACAACCACAAGAACCGAAAACAAUAAAUUUGCCUGACCCUUCAAAUGAUACGUACCCCGAGAAGGUCGACACUCAACCGGUCAUCAAAUCGACGACCUUAUCAAAGAAGGAAUAUUUGACCACCUUACUAGACAAGUACAAGAAAGGUAUCGGUUGGACGAUUAGUGUCAUUAAGGGUCUAAGUCCAACAUGGUUCCCACGCAAAAAGAAAGUUAAGUACAAGAUAAGUGUUCCAUUGAUGGAGAUGGCGAAAAGUUUAGUGAGUUGGAGAGGCCCACCUACUUAGAACAAAGCACAUUUAGGGACCAAGUCGAGCCAACGACUUAAAACAAGGGCAGCUUACCGGAAGGCAACCCGGGGGUAAUUUUGUCAUUUCUUAAAAAAAAAACAAUUUCCAUUUCUUUGAAGUUUUUUGGUUUUUAAUGUUCUAAAUGCAUUUAAGCAUGUUUUUAAAUCACCAAACGGACCUCGGGAUGCAAAACCAUUUCGUUUGGAUAAGAGAGAAUUUUUGGGUUCAAAAAGUGGGAAGUGGCAAACAGAGCCGCACACGGCACGUGUUCAUUUUUGCCUUAUAUUGAACACGGGUCGUGCUCAAGCCAGGAAAAUAUUUUCGCAGUCAGAGGGGUACACGACCCGUGUCAUUUCUCCCUUAUGCCAAACACGGGCCAUGUUCAGCCAUUUUCAUAAUUUGAAACCCCCAACAUGGGUCGUGUGUUUUUACACUAAAAGAACACGGACCGUGUUCGUGCUGCAGAAAAAAUGUGUUUUAUGUAUAAAAAUCAGCAUUUAUCACCCCAUACACCCAUAACUCAACCGCAAAACAAUUUCUCUCUUCCAAGAUCCCCCAGGUCCGAAAUUUUCACAAUUUGUUUUGUGCUUUUGGGCUUGAUACUUAAUGUAGGCAAGCUUGGGGAGGUUGAAGAGGAGGUUCCCACCAACUGCAAGGCUCCAAGAACGAUUCAGUAAAUUCUUUCCAUAUCUUUAAUCGUUCAUAUUUUUCUUUAAAAUUCAAUAUGUGUGCACUUGUGACUAUUUUAGACUCUUACCCAACCCGACUACCAUCCCCCACUACCUUCCAGUGAUUAGAUAGGUUGUUCCGCCCUCUCCAAGCAUUGGGGACGAUGCUUAUAUUCAAGCUUGGGGAGGGGUAGAGUUAUACACUAGGUUCAUGCAUGUUCAUUCAUGCAUUUAAAAAAAAAAGUUUUUUGUUUCAAGUUUUUGCAUUUUACCUAUUUUUGCAUUUCAUAUUCAUGCAUGCAUUUUCAAAAAAAAAAAAAACAAAAAAAAUGUACGAGAUGAUGACACUCUUGUUGGGUUUUAAGCAAUCUAACACUUCCUAAGUGUGCCUGCAACCCUAAUAAACCUUGGAACUAUGUUUGUCUAAAUACAUGCAAAAUAAUAAUUUUUCCAAGGUUCAUAACCUAUCUAACAUGGCAUGAGGUACUUUUAAACAUAAAAGUAUUAGAUGAGAUUACAUACCUUUUUGAUGACUUUGAUUCUUAAGGAGUUUGAGGGCCAAGCACCAAUAGUGUGAAUGCCUCAAAUGGAAUCACAAAUCACCACAAACUCUUGGAAAACUUUGAGAGAGUGUAUACACACUUAUAAAAUCGGCCACACACAAACACACAUACUCUAGUAACACUAGUCACACUAGUGGCUAUUUCAUGCAACAUAAGCAUGCUUAUAUAGUGUACAUGAUUAGGGUGAAACCCUAAUAACCCAUGACCUUUCCUUUUCCAAGGAUCCAUGGGUUAAAAGCUCCAUGGAUCAUCCAUGGACUUCCAUAUAAGCCUAGCCCAUUAACAAAUGAGUAUUAGCCCACACCAUAUAAAACCAAUAGCCCACAAUCUAAUUAGUCUUCCUUUUAAUCUGUAAAUUAAUUCAUAAUUAAUUUAAGACUAAGACUAAUUAAAUAUUAUAACUUCAUAUUAAUAUAUUAUACAUUAUAAUAUAUUAAUAAACAUAUGUGUAUAACUCUCAUAAAAUUAUCCAUAAAUAGUUCGGAUGAAGUGCAACCCAAAUGGCCCAUGCCGGGUCGGGUGAAGUAUGUACCAAAUAAGUUAUGGACUUAGACACCUUAUCCAACAGACUCCUACUUGGAUAAGUCUAAUAACUAUACUUGCGUGCGUUACUUCAGGAACCAACCAGCAAUCGUAGGUCUCGAAAACUCUGUUGAACUAUGAAGCGCCAUUUUAGAUAAGUGAUCAUAAAAUCCUCUGUUCUCUUGAUUUCAGCCGGACAAAUACAUGGAACAACGUCGUACUUAUUGUCCAGCAGUUUGUUUCCCGAUUUUCGAUUUGUUUGACAAAGAACUUAAUCGAACACAUCAAUUUAGUUCUGACCGGCCGGUACAUAGGUCACAACAAAAUCAUCGAGGGGCCCAGAUAUCGCUUCUAUUUCUAGAAGGAACAGAUAAACUUCGACUCAUAUGCUUGUUCUACUACUUGUUGAAUUGUACACAAAGGCACGUUUUAUAACAUCAAGUUACUGAUGCGUUUACGUGCAAUCAAUGCACAACCAACUCAUAGGUAACAACUCAUAUCUCUAGGUUUGAAGAUUUAUAUGAUAUUACCGUCUCACGAUCACUCGAGAUAAAUUCCAUGAAGUGAUACAAGUGAGCGUGGGUUUAUUCCAAUACUCAUAACUUAUGAGCACUCAUGAAUGUUGUAGCAACCAUUGCUAUGACUAAACCCAUUUAGCCAUCUACAAACUCGAUUCAUGACAGUCUUGAUUCAUACCUACUUCCAACAUAUGAACGACUGUGGAGUGUUUAAAUAACUUAGUCAUUCGGAAAGAAUAACCUAGCUAUUUUGGAAGUCAAAACAUGCAAAGUGAAACACAAUAAUAAUCGAAUCCAAUAUGGUCUCAGAACCCUUUUGAAUAUAAAUAGAACCACCUUUUAUUUAUCACCAUAUUGAUUACACAUUAUUCAUUGUAUAAUGUUUCAAACAAUCAACUUAAGACUUGAAUAAAAACAACAGUCGUCCCAUGCUCCUAGCAUGUACACUUUGUUUUUCUAAACAAUAGUUAUGCCAUACUCCAAGUAUGCACACUAUGUUUGUCUAUGAUCUUUACUUUGUGAAAUAGAUCAAUUGAACAUGAUUCCAAUGAUACUCAUUUCACAAUCCCAAAGCCUUAUUGUAAAUGUAUGAAUUCCUAAUUCCUACCAUUUACCAAAAAUUUGUUAGAUUUUAAACUUAUAUGCACUGAUCCUCUUAUAAUGAUUAUGCACAAGGUCACCAAAACCUUGUCAUCAGUCAUUACAGACUAUUCCAAAGAAGAUCAACUCAAUGGAAACAAAGUCUCAUAUUCAAAGUACAUUGCUUUAAACAUCCUUCUUGCAUUAAGUUUUUCUAAUGUUACACAGAUUGAAUAACUUCCUCCUAUGGAGACAUUUCCAUAGUCCUAUUUUGGCUGUCACUUCUGAACAAGAGUUACCUCUUUUCAGAAAAUGUCAAUAUGGUCCUGCCAAAAUUAACACUAUACUUCCAAAUGUCCUUGAGCAACCAAUCUUUGGCAAACCUCAGAUUGUCCUAGACAAUUGCUUAAUCACUUUAGUCAUAUCCAGUUCUAGACUUUUCCCUUCUCAAUGCCUUAAGCAUUUGGAAAAUUUAGAAAAGAUGAAUAUUAUAGCACAUGCAAUCGAUCCUAUAUCCGAAGCAUAUGGGACACGAUUCAUGAUGUUUGACAUAAAGACAUGAUACUAGACAAGUCUUUUGCUACAAUAUUUUUUAUUUGCCAUGUUUUCAAAAUUUAACUAUGAAGAGGGAUGCCGUAGUCAUAAUUGAAUUUUGAGAACGCAAUAUAUAUAGAAUUUCCUUAAGUCGAACCAUUCAGACAUAAAAUUCAUACAUAUAUCCUUGACUAAAGAUGAUUAAAAUCUCAAUAUAAGCUUCUAGAAUUGAAAUGAAGUAUCAUUUCCUCUCCCUUAAUUAUAGCAAAAGGACUUUUCAACCCCUGCAACUUCACGAAUUGAAACGUUUGUUUUUCUAUAAUUAACAUUGCUAGCUUGCAAUAAUAGUAAUCAUAAUUAUCAUGCUCACACUAACAUGAUGAUUAUUAGCAUAACACUUAUGCUCCCACUAGCUCUGACACAUUUCCAGAAAUCUGUUGGACUUCUGAAAUUUAGAUUCAUACACCCUUUCUUAGAUAGCUCACAUGUGUGUCUAAACAAUUUUCAGAACUAUGAAAAGGGAUGCCGUAAUCAUAGUCUCAAUUGCUUAGGCAUUUGCCAUUUCUCACAAGUCCAUGUUAGUGUGCCGGUUAACCACACGCGCUCCACUAACGACUUUUGAAAAUGCAAAUAACACAAUUGAUAUCUACGUAAAAUCUACUUAGUGAAAGCGUUUCCUCACCAUCAUUUUCAUGAAUCGGAGAGAAACCUUAUGACACUUAGAUUUUAUAGUGUAUGAGUUCCUAUCCAUGUGAAUUUGUCAAAACCAUAAUCACAAGAUAAGGUUAGUGACAAAUUCAGCCUUACAUGGAUUAAACUUGUUCAAUCUUAGUUUCUUGUCACCUUGGUAGCACAAGGCCCACCAAUGCUUCCAAGUUGAACUCUGAUAACUCACAUGCAAAUUCAACUUAUUUGAAGUAGGUACAGAAAUAAGAAUUAUGUCAACACGAUAGGUUGCAAACCUUAAGUCGUGUGCUAGUGAUAAAUUACAGGUUUUACUCUUGAUUAAAUCUUGAAACUCUUUCAGGAUCUUUAAGGCUCCCACUGUCCCCUUGACAUAUAAGUUUCCCUAGUCAAGAACCAUUCCUUGACAAAACAAAUAUUCAAGGGAUAGUGCGGAUUCUUAUCAAGACUAACACUUCACACAAUUGGUCUUAGUUGGUCUUUGUCUCAUCCAAGACAUCACAACUUACCAAUCUCAAAUGUACAAGAGUAGAAAACAUUUUACUCUUACAUUUGACUAGUGUUAAUAAAUCUUCCUUUAUGUCACUCAAAGUUACAAUCUUGGAGUAUGACUCUAAGAAUUGUUUUGGAACGAAGUAUGACUCAUCUUCUUGAUUUUAACCAAUCCAACAAUUCAUGACCUCUCUUCUUAGCCAUAACAAUGCACUAAGACGUCCUUAGAGUAUGAAUUUGUGAUAUGGUUUCAUAAUCAUUAAGAUGAUCAUGAAAUACGAUACUAAAGUACUCUCCCAUCCUUUCAGAUUUGAGAAACUUUUAUCUUUCUGCCUAAUUUGAUUCUUCUCAUUUGUUUUGUCAUACAUUGUAACCUUUCCAAUGUUACAGAAUUAUACUUAACCUUAUAAGUAUAAUCAUAUUUACUAAUCUUUAGUAAAUCAUGACAAAUCAAUCUUUGUGGUGGACCUUGACCAGCGCACACCCAGUGUACCUAAUUCCUUAGUCCUUCAAUUGACUCACAUAUACAUGUGAUCAAAGAAUUAGUCUUAAUUUUCAAAGAUGAAAAUUCUCAUUCAUCAUACAAUACAACUUGUAUGAUUCCAAGUUUCUGUCCAAUUGAAACUUGGGUGAUGAAAAACUUUCUUCAUUUGGUAAAUUCAGACACUACCACAAAUGAAAGAAUCAAAUCCACUUUCCAAUAUUGCUAUUACUGGAAACAUAUAAGCAACAAUUUUCCACAGAUGCCAUUGUAAGGAUAUUUUUAAAAUAAAUAAAAUUAAAACCCUUUUUUUCUUUUAUUUUAAAACUUUGCGGAAAAACUUAUCCUUACAAUCCACAUGAAAACCUUGUUGUUAUCUAUUCAUAAGCAAUAUAUUAUAACUCUUAAGCAACAGCUCAAAAUUCUGAUUACCGAACCAUGCGAUUGAAACCCACCUUCGCAAUCAGAAUCGACAUAUACUUACUUUAAGCUUCCUAUCUUUUCUUUUGAUUCUUAAAAACAUCAACAUGUGACCCAUUCACAUUAUGUAAUAAGAAUCUCCAAAUAGGAACUUAAUAGAGUUAGUCAGUGGACUUUACCCGAAGUAGAGUCAAACCUCUUGACUUGAUCAACCUUAUGACCUUUCAGGUGAAUAGGGAAGCUUCGCAACCAAUGCCCCUUCCUUUGGCAACAAAACACAUGGACCCUUUGGUAAUGGCACAUGAGACUAUCUCAGACUUAGCUUUUCUCUUUACCAUUUGGUCAACCGAGUUGACUAUGGCCGAUCCCUUUCCAUUGGGAAGAGAAAUGCUUUUCUAGAUAUCCAAUGCUACCAUUGUCAAUGUCCAUUUAAGACUUAGGAAGUUGUUCUUUUAAUCAAAUUUUCUUUACUGGUGUUCCAAAUCAUUGCUGAUUCCACAACACCAAGCAAAUAGAUAACAUCAUUAAGGGUCAUGUCAUAGUCUGUCUCAUAGUAGUCCCAAAGAGACUCACUAUGUUACUAAGAAAGUGAUUGAACAUCCAACUUUCACAAGACUUUGACACCCAACUCUCCCGGCUUGUCAAUACGUGACUUCAUCACCAAUAUGUGAUCACAUAUAGAUCUUGCUUGCCAACA